This 681-nucleotide long non-coding RNA is filed under the name Bos mutus (wild yak). RNAcentral's name for it is "lncRNA (ENSBMUG00000024604.1)". Lineage: Eukaryota; Metazoa; Chordata; Mammalia; Artiodactyla; Bovidae. The record is from RNAcentral.
GUGAAAGCCUGAUGGAAGACUUUCUUGGGGUGUGAGGUAGAAGUAGGUGAAACAAAGAUGUGGGAAGAGGGGAGAGGGUGGUGAUGUGUGUGUGGGUUAGGAAUACAUUUAAGGGUGAAAGAGCAUUGGGCCAGGGACCAAAUAGCGCAUGCUAAAGCCAUAUAACAGAGAGAAAAUUGAUCUGGAGGCUGAUGAAUGAGUGCUCUCGCCUAUUUCUGUAAUAGGUGGCGGUUGAUGUGACAUAACAUCAGGAGCCCCCAUGUGCUUUGGACGUUCUGACUGACCUUGGUGGGGCAAGGUGGGAGAAAGGUCGACAAUAAACAAAUUUAAAUACUUCUUAUUUCAUGGAGUGAAGUUUUGGUUUUAAGUUACAGUGAAGAAGCUGCUUAAAGGCAAAUGCAGAGUGUAGAAACAUCUAAUUAGUUUUGGUUUCUUAACAGAUGUGGACAUGUCCAAAGAAGGGGUUGACGGUUUGAAGACCAAGGAUGAUAAAUGUCCCAUUAUUACUGUGGACUCAAACAGUGAUGAAGAUCCUGACUGCUAUAUAACUGGAGUGAAGAUGAAGAACAACAACAUCAGGUGGGUAGGAGAAUUGGUGAAAGUUGACUUUUUUAAAGGAAUAAUGUUUGGGUAAGAUGAUUUCAGAAUAAAAAUCACAUUUUCUCUGUGAAUCCUAUGUUC